AUUGAACGCUGGCGGCAUGCCUUACACAUGCAAGUCGAACGGCAGCACGGGUGCUUGCACCUGGUGGCGAGUGGCGAACGGGUGAGUAAUACAUCGGAACAUGUCCUGUAGUGGGGGAUAGCCCGGCGAAAGCCGGAUUAAUACCGCAUACGAUCUACGGAUGAAAGCGGGGGACCUUCGGGCCUCGCGCUAUAGGGUUGGCCUAUAGCUGAUUAGCUAGUUGGUGGGGUAAAGGCCUACCAAGGCGACGAUCAGUAGCUGGUCUGAGAGGACGACCAGCCACACUGGGACUGAGACACGGCCCAGACUCCUACGGGAGGCAGCAGUGGGGAAUUUUGGACAAUGGGCGAAAGCCUGAUCCAGCAAUGCCGCGUGUGUGAAGAAGGCCUUCGGGUUGUAAAGCACUUUUGUCCGGAAAGAAAUCCUUGGCUCUAAUACAGUCGGGGGAUGACGGUACCGGAAGAAUAAGCACCGGCUAACUACGUG
Molecule: ribosomal RNA, 486 nt
Filed under: uncultured bacterium
Lineage: Bacteria
Description: partial 16S ribosomal RNA
Rfam family: Bacterial small subunit ribosomal RNA
Source: RNAcentral